AGAGUGAACGCUGGCGGUAGGCCUAACACAUGCAAGUCGAACGGCAGCACAGUAGGAGCUUGCUCUUACGGGUGGCGAGUGGCGGACGGGUGAGGAAUACAUCGGAAUCUACCUUUUGGUGGGGGAUAACGUAGGGAAACUUACGCUAAUACCGCAUACGCCCUUCGGGGGAAAGCCGGGGACCAGCAAUGGCCUGGCGCUGAUAGAUGAGCCGAUGUCGGAUUAGCCAGUUGGUGAGGUAAUGGCUCACCAAAGGCGACGAUCCGUAGCUGGUCUGAGAGGAUGAUCAGCCACACUGGAACUGAGACACGGUCCAGACUCCUACGGGAGCAGC
RNAcentral lists this ribosomal RNA (334 nucleotides) under uncultured soil bacterium. RNAcentral's name for it is "bacterial SSU rRNA". It matches the Rfam family "Bacterial small subunit ribosomal RNA", at positions 26 to 352 of the family's 1533-position model. The record is from RNAcentral.